AGUGAAAUAGCUGGGCUAUGUGGUAAUACUGAGUUUUACUUUUUGAGGAUCCUGCAAAAUCUUUCUCAAAGCAGUGGCACCAUUUUACGUUCCCACCAGCAGC
RNAcentral lists this microRNA precursor (103 nucleotides) under Marmota monax (woodchuck). Lineage: Eukaryota; Metazoa; Chordata; Mammalia; Rodentia; Sciuridae. The record is from RNAcentral.